This is a long non-coding RNA of Morus notabilis, 338 nucleotides long. RefSeq lists it as uncharacterized. The transcript has 3 exons. NCBI's taxonomy places the organism in Eukaryota, Viridiplantae, Streptophyta, Magnoliopsida, Rosales, Moraceae. The record is from RefSeq and is a predicted model, not a curated record.
UUUCUGCUUUAAGAGAAGCUGGGCUUGAAUCAUCAAAUCUAAUACUUGGUAUAGACUUCACAAAGAGCAAUGAGUGGACAGGAAAAUAUUCAUUCCACAGAAGAAGCCUUCACUCAAUCAAUAGCAGCAGCGGACCAAAUCCUUAUGAGCAGGCAAUCUCUAUACUUGGCCGAACGUUGUCUCCUUUUGAUGAAGAUAAUUUAAUCCCAUGUUUUGGAUUUGGUGAUGCAUCAACACAUGAUAAACACGUGUUCAGUUUUUAUCCCGAUCAUCGACCUUGUCAUGGUUUUGAGGAAGUUCUCACAAGAUACAGAGAGAUUGUUCCGCUCUUAAGCUUG